This 32-nucleotide non-coding RNA is filed under the name Homo sapiens (human). The record is from RNAcentral. Lineage: Eukaryota; Metazoa; Chordata; Mammalia; Primates; Hominidae.
UGGCAUGAAGGCAAGAAAGCCUGGUUGGUGGU